Molecule: small RNA, 147 nt
Filed under: Cedecea davisae DSM 4568
Lineage: Bacteria; Pseudomonadati; Pseudomonadota; Gammaproteobacteria; Enterobacterales; Enterobacteriaceae
Description: GcvB RNA
Rfam family: GcvB RNA
About the family: The gcvB gene encodes a small untranslated RNA involved in expression of the dipeptide and oligopeptide transport systems in Escherichia coli. Included several unknown homologues in alignment (Bateman A pers obs). It base-pairs with SorC.
Source: RNAcentral
ACUUCCUGAGUCGGAACGAAAAGUUGUCUGGAAUGCGUGUUCUGGAGGGCUUUUGGCUUACGGUUGUGAUGUUGUGUUGUUGUGUUUGCAAUUGGUCUGACAUUUCGGACCACGGUAGCUAAGCUACCCCUUUUCACUUCCUGUACA